Armigeres subalbatus is the source of this 410-nucleotide long non-coding RNA. RefSeq lists it as uncharacterized. NCBI's taxonomy places the organism in Eukaryota, Metazoa, Arthropoda, Insecta, Diptera, Culicidae. The record is from RefSeq and is a predicted model, not a curated record. The transcript has 3 exons.
AAACAAAGUUGCUCAGUGAAUCAAAAUGUGAAGGGCAUAAUAAUUUUUCUAUCAUCCUAUUAUAUGAAUUUCGAGGUAUUGAAAAACCGAAAAAACAGUGUCCCAUCAGACAAAUCGAUAGGGACUUAACAGACGAGAAAAUGCAGAACUCGCGUAGAAGUAUGAACGCUGGAAUUGAGCAGGCGUGACCGAUGCUGAUUGAUUUAACAAGAUCCUUAAAACUUGGUUCUCUUGCUUCCCGUGGCUUCGCUUGAAGAUAAAAAUAUUACUCUGGAGGAGUUUACCUAGAUGAUUUCCGGAAAAGUGAUAGCUAGUUUUCGGUCAACACUUCCGGAUACCAUCUGCGCAUGAUAUUUAUGAAGUAGUAUUUCUAAAAAAAACAAUGAGAUAGAAAAUCAAUAAAAAAAAUG